CUAACCUCUCCCUAUUGAGAAUCGUGGUUCCUUUUCUGUUUUCUCCCAUUGCACAGCUCCGUAACUUCCCUCCCUACGACGAACAUGGUGCCGUACCUCUCCUCUGAAGCCAUUACCCCUGAAUUGUCAGUUCAAUCAAUACAGCCCUCGACACAUGCUCUCUACCCUGCUGGAGGUUGUUCUGCUAGGAUUUGAAGGGAGUCUCGUCAUCUCCUCUGUCCUCAUAUUAAUGCAGCCAUUUUGUUCUUGAUCCUGCAUGAUUUUCUUCAUAUCAGAGAUCCAUCAAGACGAUGCCGCUAGGAUCUGAAGGGAAUCCUCGUCAUCUCGCCUUAGAUCAGUGCAGAAUUCUGCUGCAGUCGACGGUGCCAAUCAUAAUAUUUGCCUAAGUCAAAGGGAUAAGAAAGUAAUCACAAAUAUUGUGAUCUUGGCAAGAUCAACAAUCAUAAUCUUGGAUGUUUGGAAUGGUGUGUUCUUUAAACAUAAUUUUUUUGGAGAAACUCUGCAAGAAUCUGUGUUCCAUCUGGUGGAUCAAUGAAAUGGUCAUAACCAGGAUCCAUAAAGCUAGAUCAACACACAGACCUGCUGCUGCUACCAAUCUGCAUCCACGUUUGUCGGGCACGAGAAAGGAGGGCUGCUGGCUGGCAUUCCAGAGGGAUCCUGUUAUAUUUUAUAAUUUACUCCAUAGGAGCUUGUAAUAUAAACAAAUUUUGUGUCAUCAAUUAUGUGGAUGGUAGUCAUUGUAAUGCAACAAAUUAUUUAUACCAUAUCGCUGUGUAUUCUUA
Long non-coding RNA from Sorghum bicolor (sorghum), 782 nucleotides. RefSeq lists it as uncharacterized. Lineage: Eukaryota; Viridiplantae; Streptophyta; Magnoliopsida; Poales; Poaceae. The record is from RefSeq and is a predicted model, not a curated record. The transcript is spliced from 6 exons.